GCACCACGGGCGUCGACCCUACUAACGGCGAGUGAAGCGGCAAAAGCUCAAAUUUGAAAUCUGGUACCUUCGGUGCCCGAGUUGUAAUUUGGAGAGGGCAACUUUGGGGCCGUUCCUUGUCUAUGUUCCUUGGAACAGGACGUCAUACAGGGUGAGAAUCCCGUGUGGCGAGGAGUGCGGUUCUUUGUAAAGUGCCUUCGAAGAGUCAGUUGUUUGGGAAUGCAGCUCUAAGUGGGUGGUAAAUUCCAUCUAAAGCUAAAUAUUGGCGAGAGACCGAUAGCGAACAAGUACAGUGAUGGAAAGAUGAAAAGAACUUUGAAAAGAGAGUGAAAAAGUACGUGAAAUUGUUGAAAGGGAAGGGCAUUUGAUCAGACAUGGUGUUUUGUGCCCUCUGCUCCUUGUGGGUAGGGGAAUCUCGCAUUUCACUGGGCCAGCAUCAGUUUUGGUGGCAGGAUAAAUCCAUAGGAAUGUAGCUUGCCUCGGUAAGUAUUAUAGCCUGUGGGAAUACUGCCAGCUGGGACUGAGGACUGCGACGUAAGUCAAGGAUGCUGGCAUAAUGGUUAUAUGCCGCCCGUCUUGAC
RNAcentral lists this ribosomal RNA (581 nucleotides) under Saccharomyces cerevisiae (brewer's yeast). RNAcentral describes it as "eukaryotic LSU rRNA". It matches the Rfam family "Eukaryotic large subunit ribosomal RNA", at positions 56 to 658 of the family's 3401-position model. The record is from RNAcentral. Lineage: Eukaryota; Fungi; Ascomycota; Saccharomycetes; Saccharomycetales; Saccharomycetaceae.